Molecule: long non-coding RNA, 620 nt
Organism: Chiloscyllium plagiosum (whitespotted bambooshark)
Lineage: Eukaryota; Metazoa; Chordata; Chondrichthyes; Orectolobiformes; Hemiscylliidae
Source: RefSeq, a predicted model, not a curated record
GAAGGUUGAUAUGUCCCCGGGGCCUGAUGGUCUACAUCCCAGAAUUUUGAAGAUAAAUGACUGAGGAGAUUUCAACAAUCAACCUAGAGAAUCAGUUACCUUCCAGACGUCUGACAUUAUUUUGCUUAUGGCAAUAAUUCAGAUAUGAAAGAACAGAUUGCUGUGGAGGUCAAUAUCAGAAGUCAAGCCCUUAGAAUGCAGAUGCAGUGUCGCAAGAUGUUCUGUGUAACUACAAGAUUGGUAACUAUGGCCCUUUGGCUAACAGGUGAAGCUCCAGAGCACAGUGGGAAAUUGUGGACCUUUUCUUGGGGUUGAACUUGGGUGACCAUCAUCUUGCCAAUGGGACAAGGGCCCUGAUGUCACACACCACUGAAGGAGAUGGGCAAAAUGGGUGAGGUACCAAUGAAGGUUUCAACUGAGAUCCACAUCAACUGAGAAAUCCUAAGUUAAACCCACAGACAUGUCCGAUGAUGUAAAUGCACAAGAAAUCAUUGCCAAACACAUAUCAGCAUUUGCAAUGCAUAAACAUGAUUGUAACCAAAUAAGGGGUGAAGUGGAUCUGACUCACGAUGCUGACUCUUGACCACAAAAACAACAACAUUUUCUCAAACAAGACAAAA